Molecule: ribosomal RNA, 1079 nt
Filed under: uncultured bacterium
Lineage: Bacteria
Description: bacterial SSU rRNA
Rfam family: Bacterial small subunit ribosomal RNA
Source: RNAcentral
CAGCAGUGAGGAAUAUUGGUCAAUGGGCGCGAGCCUGAACCAGCCAAGUCGCGUGAGGGAUGAAGGUUCUAUGGAUCGUAAACCUCUUUUUAUAAGGGAAUAAAGUGUGGGACGUGUCCUAUUUUGUAUGUACCUUAUGAAUAAGGAUCGGCUAACUCCGUGCCAGCAGCCGCGGUAAUACGGAGGAUCCGAGCGUUAUCCGGAUUUAUUGGGUUUAAAGGGUGCGUAGGCGGCCUUUUAAGUCAGCGGUGAAAGUCUGUGGCUCAACCAUAGAAUUGCCGUUGAAACUGGGAGGCUUGAGUAUGUUUGAGGCAGGCGGAAUGCGUGGUGUAGCGGUGAAAUGCUUAGAUAUCACGCAGAACCCCGAUUGCGAAGGCAGCCUGCCAAGCCAUGACUGACGCUGAUGCACGAAAGCGUGGGGAUCAAACAGGAUUAGAUACCCUGGUAGUCCACGCAGUAAACGAUGAUCACUAGCUGUUUGCGAUACAUUGUAAGCGGCACAGCGAAAGCGUUAAGUGAUCCACCUGGGGAGUACGCCGGCAACGGUGAAACUCAAAGGAAUUGACGGGGGCCCGCACAAGCGGAGGAACAUGUGGUUUAAUUCGAUGAUACGCGAGGAACCUUACCCGGGUUUGAACGCAUUCGGACCGAGGUGGAAACACCUUUUCUAGCAAUAGCCGUUUGCGAGGUGCUGCAUGGUUGUCGUCAGCUCGUGCCGUGAGGUGUCGGCUUAAGUGCCAUAACGAGCGCAACCCUUGCCACUAGUUACUAACAGGUUAGGCUGAGGACUCUGGUGGGACUGCCAGCGUAAGCUGCGAGGAAGGCGGGGAUGACGUCAAAUCAGCACGGCCCUUACAUCCGGGGCGACACACGUGUUACAAUGGCGUGGACAAAGGGAAGCCACCUGGCGACAGGGAGCGAAUCCCCAAACCACGUCUCAGUUCGGAUCGGAGUCUGCAACCCGACUCCGUGAAGCUGGAUUCGCUAGUAAUCGCGCAUCAGCCAUGGCGCGGUGAAUACGUUCCCGGGCCUUGUACACACCGAAGGGCGAAUUCCAGCACACUGGCGGCCGUUACUAG